ACAGAAUGGAUUCACCCACCUGUCAUUCAAAUUUACUUCCCUUUUCCUAGUAGCAUAGGAAGUACAGGGCUGUGUCCCACCGUGUUCAGUCCCUUUCCACAAUGUUGAAGUUAAAGGUGAGCCUUGAGUCUGCACUUGCAUGUUACUGUGACUUCUCAGAGUACUGUGGACAAUGAUUGAAAAGAUAACCCAUGCAAGAAACAAUU
Molecule: small nucleolar RNA, 206 nt
Organism: Jaculus jaculus (lesser Egyptian jerboa)
Lineage: Eukaryota; Metazoa; Chordata; Mammalia; Rodentia; Dipodidae
Gene: SNORA73
Rfam family: Small nucleolar RNA SNORA73 family
About the family: U17 (SNORA73A and SNORA73B) also known as E1 belongs to the H/ACA class of small nucleolar RNAs (snoRNAs). Vertebrate U17 is intron-encoded and ranges in length from 200-230 nucleotides, longer than most snoRNAs. It is one of the most abundant snoRNAs in human cells and is essential for the cleavage of pre-rRNA within the 5' external transcribed spacer (ETS).
Source: Ensembl